Molecule: long non-coding RNA, 282 nt
Filed under: Vitis vinifera (wine grape)
Lineage: Eukaryota; Viridiplantae; Streptophyta; Magnoliopsida; Vitales; Vitaceae
Description: long non-coding RNA (VVIN_LNC006907)
Source: RNAcentral
CACUUGGGGGAGAAUGCAAAGCUAGUAGUAAUAAAGAACACAGGCCAUGCAGUGAAUUUGGAGAAGCCCGGGGAGUUUGCCAAGCACUUGAAAUCAUUCCUCAUUGAUUCUUCUCAGUCAGUUGCUUCCAAGGACGAUCGUGUAGAUUGAACUCAUUCCUCAUCGAUUCACCUCUGUACCUUCUCAUUAUAUGACUUCAUUUCCUGCCUUUUCCAUAACUGCAUUCAAAAUUUUUGUCACCUUUUUUGUUUUCUAAUCCACAAAACUUGUAAAGUUUCGAGA